Molecule: ribosomal RNA, 421 nt
Filed under: Gastropoda sp. WHC-2010
Lineage: Eukaryota; Metazoa; Mollusca; Gastropoda
Description: partial 16S ribosomal RNA
Rfam family: Bacterial large subunit ribosomal RNA
Source: RNAcentral
CUGACCGUGCAAAGGUAGCGUAAUCACUUGCCUUAUAAUUGAAGGCUAGAAUGAAUGGUUUGACAAGAAUAUAACUGUCUCUAUGUAAUUUUAUAAAAUUUGAUUUUUAGGUGAAGAAGCCUAAAUUUAAUUGAAAGACGAGAAGACCCUAUCGAGCUUUAAGGAAAUUAGUAAAAGAAAUGGUUAGACAAUUUGAAAUUAACUUUACUAAAGAUUUUGGUUGGGGCGACAGAGGAAUCAGGGAAGCUUCCUUUAAUUAAGAGCUAUUAACAAAUAAUGACCCGAAAUUAUCGAUUAAAGGAUAUAGUUACCGUAGGGAUAACAGCAUAAUUCUUUUUAAGAGAUCAUAUCGAAAAAGGAGUUUGUGACCUCGAUGUUGGACCAAAAUAUCCUAAAGAUGCAGUAGUCUUAAAGGUUGGUC